GCCGGCAUAGCUCAGCUGGUAGAGCAACCGCCUUGUAAGCGGUAGGUCGUCCGUUCGAGUCGGACUGCCGGCACCA
This 76-nucleotide transfer RNA is filed under the name Hydrogenophilus thermoluteolus. RNAcentral describes it as "tRNA-Thr". It matches the Rfam family "tRNA". From Rfam's summary of the family: Transfer RNA (tRNA) molecules are approximately 80 nucleotides in length. Their secondary structure includes four short double-helical elements and three loops (D, anti-codon, and T loops). The record is from RNAcentral. RNAcentral also lists the same sequence under 7 other names. Lineage: Bacteria; Pseudomonadati; Pseudomonadota; Hydrogenophilia; Hydrogenophilales; Hydrogenophilaceae.